CUUUAUGAAUUACAAUUUUUUAAGUCUCUAGUCCUGUGGUCUUUGCACACUAUGCAACACUGACCCUUAUUGAGAGUGAAUGAACAAGUCAACAGUGGGUAACCAGACCUUAUCAAGUAAACUAGAUGAUUAUAGUAAAGAUAUCAGUAAUAUCAGGGUGAAAUGGUUUAGUGUCAUAGAUUUAUUGAAUGAUUGUGACAAAUAGUAAAAGCGUGUAGUAAAUACGGCUAAUAUGAAUGGUUAUACUUAACAUUGAACAAAAAUGCAAUUUAUAGAGAAACAUGCUGUGCAUAUUGUAGCUUAUGAUAUGCAGGAUGAAGAUAGUGAUCUUACUUCCUAAACAUUCUUAUUUACAAUUCAAACUAGUAUUAUAAAACUGAAGAUUUUAUUUGAAUGUACUAAUCUCGGGAAGUAUUGGACCAAUUUGAAAAAGUGUUUCACUGUUAGAUAGCCCAUUUAUGGAGAAAGGCUGUAGACUAAUUUCUAUCUAGGUACUUAUAGACGUCCCCAUGAGACGAGAGUGAAACUGCUGGUGGAAGCUAGUAGUGAAUAAAAGAAAUACUUUAUACAUUUUUUAAGCAUCAACAAAGUCAAAUUUAUGUACAGAAAUUUAAUCAACACAAAACCAGUGUUAUUAAAAUUGGGGAUUCCCAAGUAUCACAUAAACAGUUGAGGAAAAUAAACAGAGAACAGCCAUGUUAUUGCACAAGAAUAUUAACAAGCCAAGUUCUUUAACAUGCUAUAUUAUUGGCAUAUUCUUAUCUGGGUUAGUUUGGAGUACAAGCAGAAAUGCUGAUGUUAAAACAUUGUGCAAUUCGCCCUGUAAAUUCAGUAAUCAUGAUGCAAUAGUCCCACUAUAUUUAUUUCCGUUGCUAUCAAGUUAGUGGCAUUGUUUAUUCCAAAAUGGCACUACAAGGCUUGUUCCGUACCUCUAUUCUUUUAAGUUUAAAAAAUUCUGUGAUAUUUUUGUUUAUUUAGAGCCAGUGAAAAUGUUUUAGUGGUGUUUGUUUGCGAUUUUAAAUUGUUUGAAUAUUUGCGCGUGUGUUUUACGGAAAGAAUGGCAGUAAAAAAGAGCAGAUUCAAGACAAAACAACGGACUCAAGAAACAUUUACUCGAGUAAACAAAUUGAAAGCUGAAAACCAAAUGUUGGAAGAGAAAGUGAAAACACUGACGAAGGAAUUGCAGUUUCUUAAAGAACUAUUCUUAGCUCAUGCAUCAAACACACCCAACGCUAAGUUUGAAGGGAUCGACCUUGACAAACUGUUAGAGGACAUACCUGAAGAUAAAAAAUAGGUAGUGGUUUAUCAAUAGUACUACAGACUUGCCGUAAAUAGUGUUAGUGGGAGGAGUGAUCACAGGACAGACAAAUGAAUUGUUCCGUGGCUCAAUUAGAUGAAAAUUAAAGCUAUUAUGUACUGGCACCUAAGAAUAAAAUACAAAUUGUUCUUCAAUACAAUAACACAGCUGUUAUGAGUCAGGUUGCAAGUGCGUAGUAGCGCCAAAACCACAUAUUUGUAUACUAUGUAUACUAAGAUAUAUAGAUAAGAUAUUAUACCUUAUGGUAUAUAAAAAAAAAUUAAGGAAGGUCUAUAGAUUAUUUGGCAUUUAUUGUUAUAAUAUAAUUUUGUUAUCUGUUAUCUUAAAUUUUAGGCGUCGGAUAACAGUGUUUUUAUUUUUAUAAGUACAUUGCUAUCAGAUCUAUACAUUAUUGAUCAACUCGGUUUUUGAAAGUAUUAAAAAUAAAUAUUUUUGAUACUUUGCACAAACUGUAAUACACUACAUGCUCGCUUGUGUGCAUUUUUAAACUAGAGAUGCCUGUUGAUGCAGAUGUCCAUAGUGAAGUAAUAUGAUGUUGAACACCAAUACUGGACACAAUAAAUUUUUGAAUAAAAAAAUAUGAACUAAGUUACUGUUUGACAGUAGUUAUCGCUAGAAUUCUAAAUCUAUAGUUUGGCUUAUAAGCUACCAAAGCACAAUGCAGCUGAGAUGGUUUUAAUCAACCAAUAGAAUUACUACUGGUUUUCUUUCGGUUGUUUAAAAACUUCCACAUCUCUGGUGGAGCCAUGGCUUAAGUGCACCUUAAACCUAUAUCAUGUAAUGUAGGCAUCUAAAAUAGACAACACUAAAGUUCCUUAGUUAGUACAAAAAGGCAAUAUUUUACACUCUACUACCUAUAACUAUAAUUAUGUAUUAAAAUCAUUCUGUACAAAAUUUAAAAUGUGAUGUAACAUUAAUAAGAAAAAUAA
This 2247-nucleotide long non-coding RNA is filed under the name Helicoverpa zea (corn earworm). RNAcentral's name for it is "uncharacterized LOC124641340". The record is from RNAcentral. Lineage: Eukaryota; Metazoa; Arthropoda; Insecta; Lepidoptera; Noctuidae.